Long non-coding RNA from Camelina sativa (false flax), 644 nucleotides. RefSeq lists it as uncharacterized. The record is from RefSeq and is a predicted model, not a curated record. Lineage: Eukaryota; Viridiplantae; Streptophyta; Magnoliopsida; Brassicales; Brassicaceae.
GAAUGAGACUCUCUGCCUUGAUUGAUCACAAGUGUCACUACAAUAUCGUUUGAUCUGUAGAAAUAGGUGCCCAUUUCCUAAAUCAAUACAUUUAGUGUUUGACAUUUUUCUCUUCACCGACAAGACUCUCCCUUGGUGGAUGAGGUCUACAGAUCCUACCAUGUUCAGCUUCUGAAGGGUAUACUCUCUUUCUUGGCUACUGUUCACCCGUGUAACUUCAAUGUUGUCUUGGCUCUCAACAAGUUAAUAUGUCAGGUUGAUAAGCAUGUCUCUCCGAUGGAUGCUCCCUUGUUUCUCACUACACAACACAGAUUCUUGCAUCCUUUUUCCCAACCAAGACAAUACGAGAAGUUACGAGAUUCGUUUCUCAGCUUUACACUUCAAGAGUGAACUACAACAUCUUCAAGAUGAAGAUUAGGAGCUUCCUGGUGCAUUCCAAGGAAUUCUCUCUGCUCAGGAACUCUCAUUGAAACUAGGGAACGUGAAGAAGAAUAAGAAGAAGAAGUAGAAGGCCAAGAUUUGCCAUUACUAAUUUGUAAUCUGAUAUUAGUGUAAUUGAAUUCCUCCUUCACUACACAUAAUUGUAAGAAAAAGAACAUAUAUGUAGUUGUUCUAAAGAUAAAUAUAAAUACACUUUACUGUUA